RNAcentral lists this ribosomal RNA (638 nucleotides) under Trichoderma reesei. RNAcentral's name for it is "eukaryotic LSU rRNA". The stretch from base 265 to 418 matches the Rfam family "5.8S ribosomal RNA". The record is from RNAcentral. Lineage: Eukaryota; Fungi; Ascomycota; Sordariomycetes; Hypocreales; Hypocreaceae.
UCGUAACAAGGUCUCCGUUGGUGAACCAGCGGAGGGAUCAUUACCGAGUUUACAACUCCCAAACCCCAAUGUGAACGUUACCAAUCUGUUGCCUCGGCGGGAUUCUCUGCCCCGGGCGCGUCGCAGCCCCGGAUCCCAUGGCGCCCGCCGGAGGACCAACUCAAACUCUUUUUUCUCUCCGUCGCGGCUUCCGUCGCGGCUCUGUUUUACCUUUGCUCUGAGCCUUUCUCGGCGACCCUAGCGGGCGUCUCGAAAAUGAAUCAAAACUUUCAACAACGGAUCUCUUGGUUCUGGCAUCGAUGAAGAACGCAGCGAAAUGCGAUAAGUAAUGUGAAUUGCAGAAUUCAGUGAAUCAUCGAAUCUUUGAACGCACAUUGCGCCCGCCAGUAUUCUGGCGGGCAUGCCUGUCCGAGCGUCAUUUCAACCCUCGAACCCCUCCGGGGGGUCGGCGUUGGGGAUCGGCCCCUCACCGGGCCGCCCCCGAAAUACAGUGGCGGUCUCGCCGCAGCCUCUCCUGCGCAGUAGUUUGCACACUCGCACCGGGAGCGCGGCGCGGCCACAGCCGUAAAACACCCCAAACUCUGAAAUGUUGACCUCGGAUCAGGUAGGAAUACCCGCUGAACUUAAGCAUAUCAAUA